RNAcentral lists this long non-coding RNA (8975 nucleotides) under Gallus gallus (chicken). The record is from RNAcentral. Lineage: Eukaryota; Metazoa; Chordata; Aves; Galliformes; Phasianidae.
AACGGGCCCGCGGAGCGAGAGGGGCCGCAGGCUGAGGCGCGGUGGGCUUAGCCGAGGCAGCCCCCGGCGGCCGGGAGCGGUAUCGAGCUUCUGGACUUUCGGGCUUCUGCAUCGCUUCGGCCGGGACGCAGCUUCCCCGGACGCCAGCUGGAGGGUGUGACUGUGAGCCAGGCAUCGUUGGCUUUUUCUCUGUGUUGGCUUCUGAACAAAGGUGCUGCUGAAAGGGUUGGUGCUGUUUUCACUCAGUCUGCAUCUGAUAUAACACAGCUCUUCUUAGACUGUGCAUACGCUUGUUGAGAGAAUAAGGAACAGAAGAACUCUGCCAGGAUGUAGGUUAGUUUUCUCUUUUACCAUUCACCAGCAUCACUUCUGAAUUCAGCGUGUGAACUCUUGGGGCAGGUCCAUGCGUUUCAGUAGUCCUCUGUCAAACACCAUGUUCUGGAUUCUGUAUUAAUAUGCCUAUCAAAGAUUUAAGCAAACUGCAAUUUAUCCUCUUCCCAGUUCCAAACUUGAGUAAAUGUUUUCAAAAACAAGGUACCCUUCCUCUCCAAGUGUAGUGAGGGACUUACUUUUGAAAAGCUGGCACAGAUCCCCUAAAUUCUGGAAGAUAAUGGAGGCAUCUAGGCUGAGUCUGUUCCCUGUCCUAACCCUUCCUGCAUGUUAGAGGAAGUUCCAAUAUCUGUUUGCCAGUAUGCUUGAUCCUCCCAGAGCUUCAUGAUCUAUUAGUAGUAUUUUUGUGCUCUGUUUCCACAGCAACAGCACACUUUCCCCUCCCCCCCCCAAAGGUGGCUGUUGCUUUGAGAAUUAGACCUGUGGAAAAGCUUGGCCUUCUUGUUACUGUGCUGGCAUAGGUCAUGAGAGGGGUGGGGAGAAUGUGACCAUCACUGAAGCUUCUGUGGUUAUGGAGUGACAGGGGAACAAAUGAGGCCUACUUAAUUGUGGGUUCAGUGUUACUAAAAUAAUUGUGUUGAAAACGUUGGCUCAUUCUGAGCUCCGUGAAUGAAAGUCUUGGAAUUGUGACAUUAGCAGUGAUCAUUUUAGCUCUUUGCACAUACUCUUGUAAUCAUGCAGGACCCAUGUCCUCUUCAUGCAUGUGCUCAUGCACAGUACAAAACCAGAUGUACAUUCUUCUGUGCAGCUGCUCAUAGGCACUUCUUGUGUGCAUGUUACAUUAAGAAGCCUAGUCUUCUGUCAAAGUGUUCAUUGUAGUAUUGUAGGGAAGGGAAUUGCUGUGUUUAAUUGCUCCACUGAAAUAGGAAAUAAACAUUAUGCUACCUCUUUUCUUAUGUUAAUAAAGCAUGACACCUCCUGUGGUAGCAAGACUCUUUCAGACUCAAGUAUACAUGCCAGUCUGAACAUUUUCUGCUGCGUGGAAGACUAACAAGGUUUCAAUUUAUAAAGUAUUUCCAUAGGUCAGUUAUUUGCCCUUUUUUGUUAUUGUUUAAAAGGAGUGAGAACAGAAACAUUAUAUGACUGAAUACCAUACAAGUUGAGUAUAUAAUUAAUAUUGGAUUCUGGAAUUUCCCUUCCUUUAGAAGUGAAUAACUAAAGCAGUAUCUUGUCAUUCUUAGGCUUUUACAGGAAAGGCUUCUGUUUGAUAUACAGUGUGGUGGCUGUCUACCAUUAGUGUUUUGGUUCCUAGUAGUUAGGAUGCCAGUUUUGUUUCUCUCAGGAAGAAUUGUAGGUUGAAGUGUUGAUGACCAAAAUCCAUUUCUAGUGGUUGAGGCCACAUGAUCUGGGGUUAUCAUGGAAAGGCACAAUGUUUAUAGCCAUUUUCACGGUGAUAAGGCCAGAAAUUUACCAAAUCUUAUCCAUUUAAAAUGUAAAAAACUGUUCAGUGUUGAACACGCAUGUCACAAAUGUCACGUAUUUACAAAGACAGAAAUUAAACUAUCAUGUAUUAAUUUCUAGUUAUAAACACAUCUAGGUACACGUUUCUUGUUAAAGAUCUCAUAGUUUGAAAAUGAAGACCAUUUCAGUACUGAACCUUUUAAAAAUGAUGUCAAGUCUUGCAUCACUUGAUUUUAGACCUGUUUCUGGUUAUAUAUGGCUCUUUCUGACAGCACACUGAAGAAACCGCACAUUUUACUUUACUUGAGAACUUGUUUAUUAAAAGACCAGGGUAUAAAGUUCCACAACUGUUUAACAUUCAGUAAUUUACCAUUAAGCUGCUUGACACAAGUUAAAAUUUAUGUUAAUAGUGUCUUGAUUAAACGGCACUCAUUAUCACUCACUGAGAUAUGGCCGAAUCAGUUUCCUAACAGAUGUCUCAAUAAAGGAGCCAUCCUACUAUAGCAUGUCCAAAUUAAGUUGAAUGUGUUGCAUUAAUGUUUUUCACUUAUAUAGCAUCUUUCAUUUCAGAGCACUUCACACAACCAUGAUUGAUAUUGGGAAAACAGAUUAGGUUAAUAUUAUGACCAAAGCAAAUGUAUGGGUUUAAAGAGCUACAGGACAUUUUGUAACUUCAACAGUUGUCUUGCAAUACAGUUUUUAAUGCUUGAUACAGUAUAGUUAUGUACUUCCUUCCAUGGAACUCUGUUAAUGUAGCUUGCAGAAGGUCUGAGUUAACCCUCGAAGGGUUGGAACAGGUGCCUCUGGAGAUGCAAAAUAUUUCAAACCUCAGCUUUGAACUAUUUUUAAGUAAUCUUUUCCAGCCAGUCCUACACUCUUCAGGGCUCUUCAUGCCUUUCAUCUUUCAUUUUCUGUUAAAAUUGUUUUAUCAACAUAGGAAAUAGUUGUGAUUUCCCAUCUCUCCCUUAAAUUACUCUUUUGUGCCUACUUGCAACAUCACUUAAAACUCCUGUCGUAUAGACUGUGCCAAAGUAACUGGUGAUUCAAGUACAGAACAUAGCUUUUUCCAUAUGCAGAGUUAGGAUCGCAACGAGGAAUAAAAACAUUCCUCCUUACGUCCUCACCAUUUGCUUUUAUAUAUUUUACAUAUGUAGAAAAAGCUAAUCCCACUCAUAUUGUGCAUAUGCAAAUCUAAAGAUUUUUUUCUGUAUUCAGUUUCUGUGCCUGUAAUGCAUUUUUCCAGCUUCCAUUUUACAGCCUCUGCAGCCUUGGAAAUUGUGUUAUAGUUGUAAUAUAGUGCAAAGCAAAUAAAAAAAACUCUAAACAAGUCACUGCCUAAUUUUUUCUGCUAAAGAAUUAGACUAAUCACAUUUUACAUUUACUUAAUGGUUACAUUUAUUGAUCGUAUUUUACAGAUUGUGUAACUGAGAGCAGACCCUGAAGGCAAUUUGCCCAAGAUCCCAGUAUUUCCUGUAAUUCUGGUUGUGUUUUCCUGAUUUGAUUUGGAAUAUCCAAUUAAGAAUGAUAUGUAAUUUCAUAGAUGUGUGAUGUAUCAAGUUUGUGGCUCAUCUGAUAACAUUCAGGCUCACCAUUUCCCUCUGCUGCAUGCACCUGGCUGGAUUUUCUCGUAACUGCAACUCAUUUUAUUGUCAAAUUUUCCCAAACUUAAUCUGAAGUGAGUCAUGUAUUAAGGUCAAUGGCCAUGUCGUAUUACGAGAUGAAUAGUUCAGUUGGAUCUCAGCCAUUCUUGAAAGAGAUGAGUACUUUUUCCAAGUUUUAAAACUAUUUCUUGCAUUUUUGAGCCUUUAUAUAAUUCAAAGACGGGGAGGGAAGGGAAUUUUUUUAAAUGAAGGAUGUAAUAUUUCAUUGCCGAAGGCAAAUGUUAGAGAAGCUGAGGAGCAAUGGGGAGCAGGCCGUGCAGAGGGCAUGGUUUUGUAAUGAUGUCAAUCGCUGUGCAUGUAGUGUGCAGUGCAGGAAGGGCUGUUUGUUUGUCUGUUGGUUUUCAGAGAACUGCUAGUCCUAGGCCCAGCUGGAUACAGCCAUAACAUAGCAGGCAGUAAGCUACGUAUGCGAAUCUCCUUCAUAGCGCUUUGCAAUGAAGGGAGGUUGCUUGUUCCUUUCUCAAAGCCUACAUUCUGCUGUUUGGGCUGUGAGAUGAGUGGAGGAGGGGGACUGUGGCCGUGACAGCUUCUGCCUCCUUUGGCAGUGCUUGUUGGGGUCAGCUGGGUAAGCUGGCAGACUUACCAGGGUCUGCAGAGCGCUCCCCUCCUGACCCCUCUGACUCCUCAGUCCCUGCAGUCUGUCGGUGGCACUGCCCGUGGGGAGCUGCUAGCUGUGAGAGAGCUUUGGGCUUGAUUUACUGCUGGUGCUAUAACGUUUAAUGGAAAUGAAAGAUACGGCAAGUGAGAACUGGUGAGAGAAUCAUAGAAGCCUUUCUGAGGCAUUAAUGGUCCUCCUAGUGGAGUCCUCUUACAUUAUUCAUGCCCUUUGAGCCAAGCUGAGCACUCUUCACUCCUAUAGUAGAAGGUAAAAGGAAAUUAACCCUGUGGUGAUAUAUUGAAAGUUUCUUGUCAAAGUAAUAAUUUUGACAGUGUGUUGAGGGAAUGGAAGCAUAUCUGAAAGGGGAAAAAACAGAUUUCAACUCUGAACUGAUGUAAGAGUGCUCAAGAGUACUCUGCAGUGAAGAAAUACAAAGAGCACUUGAACUUACAUACAAGGUCCUGAGGUCCCUCUGUAGCUUUCCCAUCCUCAUCAAGUAUGUCUUCCAAGUAUCAAAAGGUAUACCUUGUAGCUGCAAGAUGAGCUAGUGCUCUAAGCUUUCCAGCUGAUGCUAAGAAAAACUUUGCCAUGGAAGACUUCAGCAUGUUCAGAUUGACUGUAGUAGCCAAGACUUCUCAAUGAUUUGUAGAUCAAGUAUCAGAAAUCUGUCAUUCCAGCCUGGCUGUAGUAGAUGUUGCUGUGUGUAUGACUGUUUCUUUGAACUUGUGUGCUUUUUCUUAGGCAAAGCCAUCAUGUUUAGAGUUCUUGUUUUUUCCUGUUCCCAUCGCAUCUUCUACCUCCUGUUUUUAACUUAUCCCAUUGUUAUGUACAGUUGGACUGUGUGCUCAAGGGAGCUUUUAGGAAGGGCUCAGAAACAGGAGGCUUUUAAUGCAAUGGAUCUAUAUAGGUAAUUGAUCUGGGAUAUUUGUGCUGAGGAGGUUUCCUAUAUCCAGCUUUUACUCCCUGUCCAUUCCUCAGCUCCUCUGAGGUUUGACAGCAAGUAUCCAGAAUGUCAAACAGAUUAUGGCAAACUAGCAGAGAAUGACCUCACUCAGCAGCUAAGAGCAACUUUGGGAAGGGAGCAGAGAAGGUGACUGUAAAUAGUGUUCUUUGCUGGUGCACAAACUUUGAUUUACUGUAUGUACCUUUUGUAGGUAGGACUAAAAUAUGUUACUUCGGAGGCAGGAGAAGAGAACUCACAGUGGAAAAAUCAGUAUCCAUGCCAAGCACUGACUGACUUCUCAGCACAGAACACAGGUGCCCAGUGCAUUCACAGGCUUAUUCCUCCUUUUUCCUUUUCCUCUUACAGAAAAUCACGCUCAGGGAUGAUAUGUUAAAAGUUAUUUGUUAUCUAGAAGCCUAAGCUCUGUGACUUUUAGGUAAAAAAGCAUUCUGCAAAUUUAACUCUGGAAAGUUUGUGUUUUAUGGGCUGGAGGGAGUUGCUUUGUUUGUAUCAAGAAUUUAUUCGUGACAAGAAUUUGAUGCGUUUGCCACCUGACAUAAAUCUUAAUGAUAAUUUGGUUAAAAGACUGUGCUUGGAAUGAAGAGGCUCAGUGCACAGUGUAUCUCUCUAGACUGGCUUUCAGGAGAAAUUAAAGGUGUUCGGGCAACAGUAAUAAAAACAAAAAGAAAAAUGAUGCACAAAACAUGGUGAUUAUUAGUGCUAAAGUGGGUAUCAUAACCUCCUCCUUAAAGGGCUCUUUAAGAUAGAGUGAAAGAAAACAAUAGCUGUGAAGACUUGUGAAGGUUGUUCUUCCAGGACUGUGCUCUUGAUUGUGCAGCCUCAGAGCUGCAUGAAAAAUGAGCUGUUGCUGUUUUACCCAUUCAAGGCUGCUGAGCAUUUCUUUUUGCUGGCAGAUACAGCUGCUGGAUACUGUUGAAAUCCAAAUGUUACUAAUGGAAGCUUUUGGGUGAUGCUGAGAAACUGUAUUGAAAGUUUUGUUUUAUUUUUGAAGUAUGCUAAACAUUUAAUAGUUAAGCAGCUACACUCUUUGGCAUUGUUCAUUUAGGAUGUAUCCUUACAACCACUGCUGCCAUAGGAGAUGUUUUUUUUUUAACAUGGUGUUGUUGCUACAGUGUCAGUCAGUACGUGUGAUCUGUAACAAUUGCAACGAAAAAGAUGCCAGAAGAUCCAAAAAGUCUCUGUGGAAAGGCAUUGGCAGUCUAUGUUUUUCCACUGCCUGCUUGUAGCCUUAUGAAACAGGGCUUUUUGUAGUAUAUCUGCUCUUGGUUAAUUUUGUGAAUGAUCUCUGUAUUGCUUUAUGGGGAACUUCUGUCCUUCUGUAGGUAAUACUUGCAAAUUCCAUAUAUGCUGCCAGUUUAAAGAAAUCCUGGUUACAGCCUCUUUAAAAUGACACAAUGUGGUGCAGUCAGGCAGGAGCUCCGUGCCCGCCCCCAGCACAGUCAGCAGUGGUGGGGUCCCCGUUCACCUCCACACAUGGGCAGGAGAGCCCUGCUGGGAUUUCAGUCCAGCUGCCAUAUCCUUCCCGUGGCAAUUGGGAAGGUGCCCGCCGGGCUGUGAGGGGUAAGGUGCCGGUCGGGGACUUGAAACAAAGCAGCUGUGUGCUUAGCCUCCAUUGCAGUCAGUAAAUGGGAAAGUGAUUGGGAAAUAAAAAGCAGUAGUCGGAGCAUGAGAGAGCAGAGAAGCACCACUCCUCUCUGUCAGAAGAAGUGUGGCAGGAAAGUCCUGCUCUGGAGAACAGGUAAGCAUUGCCUGGGAAAAACAGGAGGGGGAUUGCAGAGCCUGAGUUUCACAUAAAGCAUGCUGGCUCCGUUUGAGUGUUCACUGUGCCUGCUAUGCCUAAUAAUGUCGAUAUUUGUAGAGUUCUAAGCAGGCUUUGAAAUUAGAGCUAUGUUGAGUUAAGGUAGAGGCCACUGUGUUGCAACUGUUGGCUGAGCAUUGAUAACAACUUUGUGUACUUUUUUUUUACUUUUAAGCUAUUUGACCUAAAAGAAAAUCUAGGAGUAUGAUUUUUAAUUGAUAAUUUAAUAAUUAUUGCAUUUUUUUAUGGUAAAAAUCAGUGCACUGCAGAAUGCUGUUGUUUUUCUGCAUCCCUAUUAUUUUUCUUCAUGGCCUAAUUAAACACAUGAAAUGAAACUAUUGGGCUUGGAUUUUUCCUCAGACAUGCAGAGAACUACAUGAUUCCUAUUUUCAAACUUUGAACCAUGCUUGUAAAUUGUUCCAAAGCAAGGAAAUGCAAGGUAAAAGGGAGAUGAGUAUCUCUUAUUCAGACUGGUGUGCACACAUAAUGGCUGUGCCUGGGAAACUGGUAGGGACCAGCACUUUGCACAGCAACACUUGCAGGCACUGGCAGCAGUGAAACAGAGGAAGUUUGUAAAAGGGGUAAAGCAGUGGUAGACAAGUCCAGUACUGCUUGUAUGGAAGGAAUUGGUUCAGAAGGUGUUAUCUUCUGUUAGGUUUGCUGUUCCUUGCUCAUGACAUACCUCCUCACUGUUUUCCCAUCUCUGAACUUCCUGGACUGUUUUACACUUGCAGGUAGGGCUCCCUUCCCUUACGUUUGUCCUAUUAGGCUGUAUGAGAGACAAUAGCAAAGCAUCUAAGAAACACAUACAGGUGUAUUGCUUACAUAGUUGAGUGAGAUUUAUAGCACUUGGGAUUGUGAUUGCUGGAGGCAUAGCACUGCUUCCCGCGUUUUAAGAUAUAGUUGAGUGGAGCUUGCACUGGAAUGGAACGGCCAGUAUGAGCUGGAGGAGCAAAUACAGGAGAGAGUGCUUCAGAGUGGUUAAAGUGGGGGAAAAAAUCACCAGUGUUUGACAGGAAUGUGUGUACAUAGUUAGUAGGAAAAAGUGCUCUUAUAUCUAUAUUUUUAUCUAUGUUCUCAUGGGGAAAACUGCUUUCAGUUAUCUGUAGUUUUGCAUAUAUUCCUAUCGGGAUAGUAGAAUGUGUAAAUAUAAACCAUCCUUGAUACUGAAUCUUUGGCACAUCAUCUGUCUGUCCCUUCAGAUGUAACAUACACAGUCCUUCCUUUCAGACAGAGGCUGCAAAAACCAGCUACGUGUUAGUCUUGAAGGCAGCAGUGCCUGGAGCAGCCUCAGCCAGGACCCCUAUCUGCACACUGACCAGGGCUCUGGGAACAGCCCUCAAGCUCAGACUUGGGUGUUCAGUCAUUGUGGGUCCUGGCCUGAGUGGUGUGGUGGGUGUGCCUGUCUCUUCUUUUGUCUCCUGCCUUGUUUUCUGAAUAAGCCUUGAAACCACACAGUAGGUGAUGUGUCUCCUUGUCCCUUCCUGGCCUGGUCUCCUGGAGAAUAUGGCUUUUAGAUUAAUACUAUUCUUAUGUGAGAAUUUCAAGGAAAACCGUAAAGGAUUUAUAUUGGUAGAGCUGUCUGAAACAUUUUUCACACUAUAUCAUUUUAUGCUCUCUAGAAGAUCAAGAGGACUAUCCAGAAAAUGAUUGCUGCUGAAGUUUGGCUAAUUAUUUUCCAGUUUUGCUUUAGUAUUUAAUAUAUUAAUGGAGAGUUCACGGAACAUAUAUCUGAAAUAAGUCUGUUACUCUAACCCUGUUCACUGGUCAGGUAUAUUUUGCAUUCAAAGGUCAUUUAUUUCCAUCAGAGUGGGAUGAAUGCAACAUAUUGCUGGUGCUUCUAUAUGUCACUCCUUCACCUUGUCAGAGACAUGCUUAACAUGAUUUUGGCAAUAAUUCUGUUGCUAAUUCUCUUGGGUGUUUCUAGUUCCUAGCUGCUGUACAGCAUCUUUAAUACUAAAUUCAAAAUGGCAUCUGUGUUUUUGUAUGCUGUUCUGCUGCAUAGAUUUUUUUCUUUCCCCUGUACCUUUAGUACUGUGGUUGAGGGAGGACCUUUUAUAUUUUGGCUCAUAUCUUGCAGUUUUCACCAUGGUCUUGCUGAGUACCUACAUCCACUGUUAGAACAAUGCUUGCUCCCGAUGGAGGACUACUGGAAGUAGCAAG